Molecule: small nuclear RNA, 107 nt
Organism: Myodes glareolus (Bank vole)
Lineage: Eukaryota; Metazoa; Chordata; Mammalia; Rodentia; Cricetidae
Source: RefSeq, a predicted model, not a curated record
AUGCUCGCUUCGGCAGCACAAAUACUAAAAUUGCAACAAUACACGGAAAAUUAACAUGGCCCCUGCACAAGGAUGACAAGCAAAUUCAUGAAGACGUUCUUCUUUAA